Molecule: ribosomal RNA, 755 nt
Filed under: uncultured crenarchaeote
Lineage: Archaea; Thermoproteati; Thermoproteota
Description: bacterial SSU rRNA
Rfam family: Archaeal small subunit ribosomal RNA
Source: RNAcentral
CUGGAAUGUCCUUUUGAUCUAAAUGCUCUUUCUACGCCUGUGGAUGAGUCUGCGUCCGAUUAGGCUGUUGUUGGGGUAACGGCCCAACAAACCUACGAUCGGUACGGGUCGUGAGAGCGAUUGCCCGGAGAUGGGUACUGAGACAAGGACCCAGGCCCUACGGGGCGCAGCAGGCGCGAGACCUCUGCAAUGCGCGAAAGCGCGACAGGGCCACCCCGAGUGCUAGACGCUGAGUCUAGCUUUUCCUUAGUGUAGUAAGCUAGGGGAAUAAGCGGGGGGCAAGCCUGGUGUCAGCCGCCGCGGUAAUACCAGCUCCGCGAGUGGUCGGGACGAUUAUUGGGCCUAAAGCGUCCGUAGCCGGCCUAGCAAGCCUCUGGUUAAACUUCAAGGCUUAACCUUGAGAUUGCUGGAGAUACUGCUAGGCUAGGGGGCGGGAGAGGUUGGGGGUACUUCACGGGUAGGGGCGAAAUCCUAUAAUCCGUGAAGGACCACUAGUGGCGAAGGCGCUCAACUGGAACGCGCCCGACGGUGAGGGACGAAAGCCAGGGGAGCAAAGGGGAUUAGAUACCCCCGUAGUCCUGGCUGUAAACGAUGCGGGCUAGGUGUUGGGUUGGCUUCGUGCCAACCCGGUGCCGCAGUGAAGGCGAUAAGCCCGCCGCCUGGGAAGUACGGCUGCAAGGCUGAAACUUAAAGGAAUUGGCGGGGGAGCACCACAAGGGGUGAAGCCUGCGGCUUAAUUGGAUUCAACGCCGGGA